Molecule: ribosomal RNA, 415 nt
Filed under: uncultured eukaryote
Lineage: Eukaryota
Description: SSU rRNA
Rfam family: Eukaryotic small subunit ribosomal RNA
Source: RNAcentral
CCAUAGCGUAUAUUAAAGUUGUUGCGGUUAAAAGAACUCGUAGUUGGAUUUCUGCCGAGGACGACCGGUCCGCCCUCUGGGUGAGUAUCUGGCUCGACCUGGGCAUCCUUCCAGAGAAUGUGUCUGCUCUUGACUGAGUGGUGCAGUAUCUGGAACUUUUACUUGGAGGAAAUUAGAGUGUUUCAAGCAGGCAUACGCCUUGAAUACAUUCGCAUGGCAUAAGAUAGGACCUCGGUUCUAUUUUGUUGGUUUCUAGAGCUGAGAUAAUGAUUAAUAGGGAUAGUUGGGGGCAUUCGUAUUUAACGGUCAGAGGUGAACUUCUUGGAUUUGUUAAAGACGGACUACUGCGAAAGCAUUUGCCAAGGAUGUUUUCAUUGAUCAAGAACUAAAGUUAGGGAAUCGAAGAUGAUUAGAU